Salarias fasciatus (jewelled blenny) is the source of this 514-nucleotide long non-coding RNA. RefSeq lists it as uncharacterized. The transcript is spliced from 3 exons. The record is from RefSeq and is a predicted model, not a curated record. NCBI's taxonomy places the organism in Eukaryota, Metazoa, Chordata, Actinopteri, Blenniiformes, Blenniidae.
AUACAGGCGGUCUGCCAGACGGGCAGCAGAUCAUUCUGUCGUCUGUUUGCUGCUGAAGCUCAUCGCAUCUCGUCUCAUCUCAUCUCAUCUCAGAACCCACACAGCUACAAUGCUCCUGGGUGCUUUGGCCUUCGUUGGUGCGGCAGUGGCAACCAUUAUAUACCCCGCUUCUCCACUGGUGGCAGCAGGUCUGACUGCACUGACUACCACUGGAGCUGCAACUGCCACUGGAGUUGCGGCUGCCACUGGAGUUGCGGCUGCCACUGGAGUUGCGGCUGCCACUGGAGUUGCGGCUGCCACCGUAGUUGCGGCUGCCACUGGAACUGCGACUACCACUGGAGCGAUAGUGGCUGCCAUCUUGUUAUGAAUAAAUCAUGGCUCCUUUUGUCGAAAUUGACAAUCCUGUUGCACAAUGUCAUUGAAAUCUACAAUGACAUCUCAGUGUUUCAGCAUAAUGUUAAUUUCCCUACACGAUUCUUGCUCCAUUGUUCAGCUUAUUAAAGAAAAGAGUUUG